UACGGGGGGGGCAAGCGUUGUCCGGAUUUAUUGGGCGUAAAGAGCUCGUAGGUGGUUCGGUAAGUCGGAUGUGAAAUCUCCAGGCUCAACCUGGAGGGGUCAUUCGAUACUGCCGUGACUAGAGGUCGGUAGGGGAGUGUGGAAUUCCUGGUGGAGCGGUGAAAUGCGCAGAUAUCAGGAGGAACACCCGUAGCGAAGGCGGCACUCUGGGCCGAUACUGACACUGAGGAGCGAAAGCGUGGGGAGCGAACAGG
This 254-nucleotide ribosomal RNA is filed under the name uncultured bacterium. Its description in RNAcentral is "partial 16S ribosomal RNA". It matches the Rfam family "Bacterial small subunit ribosomal RNA", at positions 524 to 776 of the family's 1533-position model. The record is from RNAcentral.